CAGCCACAGUUUAUGGCAGACAACCAUUUUAAAUCUUACAAUAUCAACAUAUUUUAUCUUUUAAUAACCACAAAUAUAUAUCUUUUAAUACCACAAAUAUACACAAUUUAUCUUUAAAAGUUAAAGUAAGAAAGCUAAAGUUGAACCCCCCCCCCCAACAUAAAAGCCAACAGAUGACAUACAAAGGCUAGAAAUAUAGAGAUAUCUCAAAAAGUUUAGUAACUCAUAAAUCAUAUAAGGUACUGUAAAUGCCCCUAUAAAAUGAAGAGGAAAAAAGUCAGACUUCUUCUCUGGUUCCAAGGGAGGACCAAAAAAAUUAUAUAGGAUUUUCCAGGUGAGGGGUGGGGAGCCAAGACAUAGAAAGCAAAGAGGCUUAGGCUUCAAAUGAAGGGGGAAAAGGACAACUAAAAACCAAGGAAAGCCCUGCAGUCAUGACAGGAAAAGAAUUAGCAAUUUCCCACACUAACCCAGAGUCUCUGAGAAUUCAUUCUAACAGGUAGGUUAAUGCAAAAGGCAGCCAGAAGGAGUGGAAUUGCAGGGCUUUGAAAAAGAAACAACAUACUUUGGGAGUGGGGAUAAAUCUAACCUUUGUACGAAUAAAAAUAAAAUAAAAAAUUAUUGGAAAAAACAUUCUACACCUUUCUUGUUUGCGUAUGCGAUAGAUAUUGCCUAUAACAUCUUCCUGGGGUGUUUUUCAAUUUUACUAAUCUCUUCUGGUUCUGCGACAGUUCACCCCAAUAUAGCUAGUGAAGUCACGACUGCAGGAGUCAUAUGCAGGCGCCUCCACUGCAGCCCCAGCUCCUCAGGGGACCUCCAGGGGGCGCCGCUCCGAGAGCACGUUCUCACCUCUGUCAGGGCUCUUCUUGCUGAGUCUUUCCUCUGGCGCUCUCAGGUCCUUCCGUCUCGUCUGAGAACGGGACUCUCCUGGGCAGAGGGCCCAGGCCUGACAAGGGGUCCAGGGGAGCUGAUGUCAGCCCCGGGGCCUUCGAGGCCCCCUUCCUCCAGAUUCACCCUCUUACCGGAAGGAUGGAAGCUUUGUCUGAGAUCAUGAUCGCUACACCUGCCUGUGCAUUUACCUGCCUCAGAUGUGUUUCUUGUAAACAACAUAUAGUAGGAUUUUGGUUUUUAAUCUACUCUUCUAUCUGAUUCCAUUUUAUGGGUGAGUUCAACAUAUUCACAUUUACAGUUAUAAUUACCAUCUGUGUAUUCUCCUCUAUCUUGAUUUCCUCUUUUAAUUCUGCCCUUUUUCCUUUCACUUUUCCCCUCCACACCAGUGUUUUGCUUUUAAUCACUUCCCCCUUCCUCCUUCCUAAUUUUAUUUCCCUUCCAACCACCUUUAGGAAAGGGUAGUGUUGAAUACUCAAAGGCAGAAAUACUUUCUAGGAACAUAGAAGGCUCAAAAAGGCCUAGUUACCCUCCCACUCUGAGAUGGUAUGAUAUGAGAAUUACAAAGACAUUAGGGUUUCAGUAACUACUAUUUGUUUAAUGCUAGGGCCCUUUAUCAUCCUAGCAUAAAUGAAAGAAAGAGUAAAACUUCUUAGACUAAGAAAUGAGGUUGUUGGGAUUCAGAAGGGGCUAUCAUAGAGACUCCAAAGCCCUAAAUGGAUUUUCUGAACUCAACAUAAAAAACAAAACAAAUAAACAAAAAACAUUUAUUUAAUAGUUGUGGGUA
Molecule: long non-coding RNA, 1672 nt
Filed under: Monodelphis domestica (gray short-tailed opossum)
Lineage: Eukaryota; Metazoa; Chordata; Mammalia; Didelphimorphia; Didelphidae
Description: lncRNA (ENSMODG00000031165.2)
Source: RNAcentral